Molecule: ribosomal RNA, 149 nt
Filed under: Taonius borealis
Lineage: Eukaryota; Metazoa; Mollusca; Cephalopoda; Oegopsida; Cranchiidae
Description: partial large subunit ribosomal RNA
Source: RNAcentral
UAUAAUUUUAUUAUCAUUAUUAAAAUAUUUUUAUAAUGGUAUAUAAAUUUUAGUUGGGGUGAUUAAGGAAUAAAAAGUAUUAACUUCCUUAGAUUAAAUAUUAUUUGAUUAAGUAACCAAUAUAUUAUUGCUUUUAUUAUAGUUACCAU